RNA transcript from Anopheles arabiensis, 2965 nucleotides. It is a transcript of the gene named gelsolin-like, with no coding region annotated. Lineage: Eukaryota; Metazoa; Arthropoda; Insecta; Diptera; Culicidae. The record is from RefSeq and is a predicted model, not a curated record. The transcript has 7 exons.
UGGGAAGUUCCGCCUGAAAGGGUGGUCCCCCCUUCGAGACUCCCACACCGCAGUCACACCCGCCACCCAAGAUAAACGCUGUCCCAGUACAAAUGCCGGUUUCAGCCAAUGGAAGCGUUACAGUUCCGCGCAAGAAGUCGCGUGCUGCGGAUGUGCCUCCAUACAGUGCCUCUAUAUUUUGCUCUUUGAAUCUGAGUGUAGGUGGAUUCUCGAGUGAUCAAGUGACUAUUUACCUCUACUACUACUAUUAUUACAACGAAGUGCAGUGAAUACGUAACGAUGCAUCCAGCGUUUGAAAAUGCCGGCAUUAGCAAGGGUCUGGAAGUGUGGCGCAUUGAGAACUUUGAGCCCGUCCCGGUACCGGUAAAAGAGUAUGGCAAAUUCUACACCGGUGAUUCCUACAUCGUACUGAAUACGAAAGAAUCCAAGAGUGGCAUACUCUCGUGGGACGUCCACUUCUGGCUUGGGCUGGAAACGUCUCAAGACGAGGCCGGUUCGGCGGCAAUUCUAACCGUCCAGCUGGAUGAUCGUCACAACGGCGCCCCGGUUCAGCAUCGUGAGGUGCAGGAUCACGAGGGUUCGCUGUUUCUGAGCUACUUCCCGGGCGGUGUGCGCUACGCUGCCGGUGGCGUCAAGAGCGGCUUCAACGAGGUCGAAACGAAUGCGGCCGGCGAGAAGCGUCUGUUCCAGGUGAAGGGCGCAAAGAAUGUGCGCGUCCGCCAGGUGCCACUGUCGAUUGGGUCGAUGAACAAGGGCGAUUGCUUCAUACUGGAUGCCGGGUACGAUAUCUACGUGUACGUGGGAGCUUCCGCUAAGCGGGUGGAGAAGAUAAAGGCGAUCAGUGCUGCGGGCCAGAUUCGCGAUCAAGAUCAUGCGGGUCGUGCCAAUGUGCACAUCUUAGAUGAGUUUGCAAGCUCCGCGGAACAGCAGGAAUUCUUUGACGUGCUCGGUGAAGGUUCUCCCGACGCUGUGGCAGAAGAGUCGGAGUCGGACGAAGCGUACGAACGGUCCGACUGUAAGGCGAUCGCUCUCUACCACGUGUCGGAUGCUAGCGGAUCGCUCGAGAUCACACCGAUCGGGGAGCGUCCGUUGAAGCAGAGCAUGCUGGAUUCUAAUCAGGACUGCUACAUCCUCGACACCGGGGCAGGCAGUAUCUACGUGUGGAUCGGUAAGGGUGCAACCGGUCAAGAACGGUCCCAGGCAAUGGUGAAGGCGCAGGAGUUUAUCACCGCCAAGGGCUACCCGGUCCACACCGCCGUACAUCGCGUGGUGGAGAACGGAGAAACGACCGACUUCAAGCAAUUCUUCGCCAGCUGGCGCGAUAAGGGCAUUAGCCAUGCGCAGCUCAUCAAGACCGCCAUGGGCAACGGGGACGAGUCGGAUGCGGAGGCCGAGUUCGAUCCGGAGGUGUUGCACACGUUCAAGAAGAACGGUGGCCGUGCGCUCGGCUUCAUGCCGGACAAUGGUCAGGGUGCGGUGGAGAUAUGGCGCGUACAGAACUACGACCUGGAGCCGGUUGAGCCGGAUGCGUACGGUACGUUCUACGCCGGUGACUCGUACCUCGUGCGGUACGAGUACACGGUCCGGGCCGGUGGCCACGGGUACAUCGUGUACUUCUGGCAGGGCAAAACGUCCAGCACUACGGAGAAGGGUGCAUCGGCCAUGCACGCCGUCCGCAUGGACGAUGAGCUGAACGGGAAAGCGAUUCUUGUGCGCGUCGCUCAGGGCAAUGAACCGCGCCACUUUAUGAAGCUGUUCAAGGGCAGAAUGGUGACGCUGUUGGGCGAUUACGGCAAGCAGUCGGUGGAAGAUACGAAACUGUUCCGCAUUCGCGGUACCUGUUCCGAUGAUGUGCGAGCGGAGGAGAUGGCCCCGACGGCAGCAUCGCUAGCGUCGGACGAUGUGUUCCUGCUGAAGACGGCGGGCACCGUGUACAUCUGGCACGGUGUCGGUGCGUCCGAUCUGGAGAAGGAUAUGGCGGCCAACAUUGCCGGUGUGGUUGCGCCCGACGCAAGUGCCGAAGUUGUUGCGGAAGAGUCGGAACCGGAGGAGUUCUGGGCAGCGCUCGGUGGAAAGGAUGAGUACGAUCGGGAGCUGGAUCCGGCUGGUGCUCCGUUCCUGACGCCCCGGCUGUUCCACUGUCGCAUUCUGUACAACAAGAAGCUGCGCGUCGAGGAAGUGCCACACUACGAGCAGGAGGAUCUCAACGUGGACGAUGUGAUGGUGCUGGAUGGUGGCGACGAGAUAUACUGCUGGAUCGGUAACGGUGCAACCGAGGAGGAACGCAGCAAGUCGAUCGAUAUGGCCCGCCAGUACAUCCGUACCGAUCCGUCCGAACGGUCGGAGGAGACGGUCCCGAUCGUUGUACUUAAGCAGGGCGCCGAGCCGAGAAGCUUCAAGCGACUCUUCCCCACGUGGGACGAUGCUUUCUGGGAGGUUAGUCGUUAGUGAGCGCUUGCCCCGACCGGUUGUUGGCUUAACAGUGUGCUACUAGCCGUGUGUAAACCUGGUGUAGGAUAUACUAUGCUAUUGUAACUCCCGACUUAUGUCUUACCUCUCUAUAAUUUCGAUUGCUUAUCGCUAACAAAAGUAUACUUUCUCCUCAGUGCACGGUAUCCGCUCGUUAAUUGGUUUGCGUACGUUUUGGGUUGUAAUUUGUGAGCUGUUACGUUACGAUUGUGCUGCUGUAUUAAUUCGUAUUAAUUCGCUUCCCCUUUGGGUAACCUAUGGAAUGGUUUGUUUUAGAUGUGUAAUAACCAAAUGUCAUACGAAGCGUACCGGCAGCAGGCUUUGGAGCAAAACCAGCAUGCUGCUUAGAUACGCAUCGACCAUUCAUCCACUAUCACGUGUCAUUUCGCCCGUCACGUGUCAUACUCGUAUAUGCACCAUUACUACCUUGCUACAUUUAAUCUGUACGUUUAUUACGAACGUUCGCACAAAGAAAUAAAACUGUGUUUGAAGUAAA